Molecule: transfer RNA, 77 nt
Filed under: Megamonas hypermegale
Lineage: Bacteria; Bacillati; Bacillota; Negativicutes; Selenomonadales; Selenomonadaceae
Also listed under: 6 other names
Description: tRNA-His
Rfam family: tRNA
About the family: Transfer RNA (tRNA) molecules are approximately 80 nucleotides in length.
Source: RNAcentral
GCGGCUAUGGUGAAGCGGUCAACACGGCGGAUUGUGGCUCCGUUAUUGCGUGGGUUCGAUCCCCACUAGUCGCCCCA